Molecule: long non-coding RNA, 9680 nt
Filed under: Arabidopsis lyrata
Lineage: Eukaryota; Viridiplantae; Streptophyta; Magnoliopsida; Brassicales; Brassicaceae
Description: long non-coding RNA (ALYR_LNC002778)
Source: RNAcentral
UUCUUUCCACCUCGGCCGCUUUUAUUCCCUCUGCCACCAGUAUUACCUCGGCCUCUACCACGGAACCCGCCUCGACCACCUUUCACAACUCCUUGUUGGUUUUGCUGGCUGCCAGACAUAAACAAUAUGAUAUGAUAAGAUGAUAAAACCGAUGAUCUGCUCAUAUAAAUGCGAGCUCAAACUCUUUGACACUUACAUUGGAAGGUGUCUCCCAGAAGGACCUGAACCUCUUCCUCUUCCUACUCUCCCACCUCUAAUUCCUUGUCUGAAAGAAUCAGUGACUCGUCAAUACAUUCACUUCAGCGCAUAAACUCAAAUUAUUCUCUUGUAAAAAAACAGACCAAGAGAUGGCAACAUACCCAAUGAAAACACUCCUCUUCAUCCUUCCAUUCAAUCCAGUCACAUUAACACGAGCUGCAACAGGAGCAGCCUCAGCACUUCCACCCAAAAUCUCCAGUCUCAUAGGCCUUCCAUCCAAGAGUACAUUGUUGUAUUUCCUCAUAGCUUGUAAUGCAUCACUUCUUCUCAUAUACACAACUUCAGCCGAUCCCUGUAUGACACAGAACAUCAGAUACCAAAUAUUACAGCACCACGGUAAUGAGCGGAAUAAACCAUAGCAAAAAGGAAACAGAACUUACACUUGGACGCCCAUUUUUGUCAUAGUGAAUUGCAUAUCUUUUCAGCUCUCCAAUCUCAGUAUAGAGUUCCUAGAUUCCAUAAGGAUAUUACAAACUAACUUCAGAAAUCUCCACAGAACCAAAACAACAGAAGCACUGGAACAUAGAUGUUAGGCUAUACCCUUAUAUCUUCGUUUGUCACUCCCUGAUCAAGGUUGGUAAUAUAAACUGUGGUUCCGACUUCCACUCCCGAUACCCCAACAGCUCUCAGGCUUUCUUCAAGCAAAUCAUUCUGAUUCUGCCAUGGCAAGCUCCUCUUCCUGCGGGCAAGCUAGUCCAGUAGAACAGAUCAAGUCAGCGAAAAGGAUCUGUAGAAUCUUGAAGCCACGCAUUAAUCAACAAAUUUCUUUUAAGAUGAGAAACCACCAAUUUGCCUGAAAGUACUAAACCAGUCAAGGUAAAGAGCUCCAGGACGUAGUAGUAAAGAACCAUCGAAGGAGAAACCAAAUGAAAUGGGCGGAAACAUGCAAUUUUGACCAACUUCAUAUGAAUCACACUGGCGCUAUCAGUCAGUCUCUGAUGCCAAAAACAAAUUCCUUGUAGCAAGGAAAUAAAAAAACUGAGACUGCCAUCAAACUCCGAAGAAAUUCCAGAUGUAGCAAGAGGCCAAUCAUGAACUUCAUGCAUUGUGCAUAUACCCCCACGUAAAGAGAUAAACGAUCAAGGAUCAUAUUUACUAUUAAGUGAAAUUUCUGAACUUCCCCCCUAAACACCGCAAGACUGCACAUACUAGGCAGGCCUUUCCCCGUGUUGCUUAAAAGAACAACACCAGAUAACCCUAUGUGGACUACUUAGCUUACUGGAGCUCUUUAGUGACACUAUCAACAAAAACUUCUCCGCAUCUAUACAUGCCUGUUGAAGUCCCCAGAAAUUAAACCAUAUAAACGACUAAGUACACCGACACUGCAGGUCUAAGAGAAAUCGUCUCCAUAAACUACAAGAUGUUAGAAGAUCCUUGUAAUCUGUGUUUCAGGAAUGAUACAGUAUCCUUCCAGAAUCCAGACGAAGUUUUUGAGUGCUAAAAAAAUGUGUACGAGAGCAUCAAUCUUUUAAGUUCUAGCAUGAUUCCGAAACGCUUCGGUAUUUGGUGGCACAGAAACACAUAGAACAUCCCAGAUUAUGAGCUUGCCUUGUUUAUCGAGAAGGAGGAAGAUGGCCGAGCAUUAACAGCAAGAGGACCUCUACGAACAGGUCCACCUCCUCUUCCAGCUCCUACAACACCAUUAGGUCCACCACGUCCACGUCCACGGCGCGAAACUCCUUUACCUCCAGAUCUUGCAGCUGCAGACCUUGCAGACUUACUCUUCUUGACAAUUUCAUCAAGAGUCAUAUUCAAAGCGUCUGACAUCUUCAAUCCAAUAAAAUCAAACUGGCCUAUUUUGAUACCUGAACAAAUUAGGGUAAAGACAAUAACAAUUAGCCUCAAAUACACAAAUCAAGAACCUCACCGGAUUAAACGAUGAAUCACUGAUUAGUGGAACAUAUGAAUCAACGGAUUCCUAAAACCUAGAACACGAUUGUCAUAAACGAUACCGAGAAAACAAAAAAUCACUGCAAAGAAAUUGACGAAGACUCGUAAUCGCAUCUCAGAAACAUGGCUCAAAGCUCUAGAUCUAGAUUCGUAAUCGAGAAAGUGAAAAAUAAUCGAAAACAAUCGGAAAAAUUAUACGCGAAAUCAUCUAAAGAAGAUGAAUCAGGAAUCGAAACUUUACCAGAUUAGGGAAACAAGGCAGAUCGGAGAAGAUCGAGAGAUCGGCGUUUAGGGUUUUUGAGGAAGCUUUUGGGGAUUUUUUUCUUGUAACCUUUUUUCUUUGAGAAUUUGAUGAUGGAAGGGGAAAAAUAGCUUGUGAUUGUUAAUGGAGAGGAAAAGGAUUUUAUAUAUAGUUCUAGGUCAGCGGGGUAAAUUUGUAAAUUAACUUGAUUUAGGGGGCGUUUUGCAUCUUUUAUCAAAAUUAGACAAUUACCAAAAAAAAAAACAAAAGGAAAGAUUGCCAGCUAAUGCGUUUCCGCGUUUAGUUAAAAAUAGUUUAUAAGAUAAAGACUAUACUUUUCUAAAAUAUCAAAAAUGCCCCAGAAUGUUUUUUUAUUCUAAUCGAAGUUUGAUACUACUACAGUCGGGAAAACAGCCAAAAUCAACCUAUUCUAUUUGCAGGCAACAUUUUUUCAACCCGAAUUCUAAACGGCGUAGUUUAGUAUUCGUUAUUAAAACAAAGAACCAACAAUUGUUAAACGUCAUUGUUGUGUCCAGCCCAAAUGCCACGUGGUCGCCAAGGUGUCGCUGAUUCAGCAUAAAUUAACGGUCUCUUGACGCCGUCAAGAAAGAUGUUAAAAUUGGCUAAUAGUUACAGAGUGCGUUUGUAAUUUGAAUUUUUUUUAAGUUUGGAUUGAUAAAUACAGGGGUUUGAGUUCGGAUUGAAAAAUGCCGCUUGUAAAUAGUUUGGGUUGAUUUUGGCUGUUUUUUUAUAUUACCAUUAAUAUGCAAUUUAUAACAUAAGAAUUCCCAAUUUAAUAAACAAAUUGCGUUAUCGCUGAAACAUUAUGAAAAUGAGUUGGCCUUUAAAAAUUCCGGUUCUUGAAUUUUUUGUUUUUCCAAAAAAAAAUUCUCGAAAAUCAAUUUUUACAUAAUAUUUUGGUUUUUAUUUUUGAGAAUAAAUCGUUUUUGAUAAAUUAACUGUAAGACAUAAUUUGAGGAUUUUAUUAUCAAACACAUACGACACAGAAUUUGAAUUUCCCAAAUAAUGAGUGUAGUUCUCACCUGAUUUCUAGUGUUCCUUAAUCUCUCGGUUUCAAAACUCUUGAAAGUUGGUUCUAUUUACUUUUAUUCAAAGGUUAAUGAGUUUUUGAAAACCGUACUAUGAAAGAAGAUGUUGGUUAGUGCGAAUAAGGAGUGUGAUGGGGACCAUGGGGUUUACAUCUUUACAGGAGUUCUCGGCACACGAGCACAUAUCACAAUAUAUUCUGUUUCUAUAUAUACCAGGUUAUGAACCCGCGAUAUCGCGGAGAAACUCAUUUUCAACAAAUAUAUUUUAUUACGUUUAUGUAUUAAAUUAUUAUUAUAAUAUAUUCAAAUAAUUGAAUUAUUAUAUAAAAUUAACUAUGUCUUAAAGUUAUAUCGUAAAUAUUUUCUAAAGAUAUUAAAAAAAAAUAUGAAUAAAAAUGUAAAAAAAAAAUUAUGAUUAAAAACACUUUUGAAACAUUUUUUGUGACAAAAUAGCUAACGAAGAGUUAUAAUAUAGAGAGAAAACAUUCUAGCGGGUCAAAACCAAAAAAAAUAUAAAAACACAACCAGAAAAAUAACUGUCAACACAAAAAAUAACCGUCAAUAUUUUAACGAAGAGUUGCGAUAAAAAGACAUAACCGAGAAAAAAUAACCGUCGAUAUUUUAACGAAAAGUUGCGAUAAAAAACACAACCGAAAAAAAAUAACCGUCAAUAUUUUAACGAAAAGUUGCUAUAAAAAGACACAACAAAAAAAAUAAAUGUCAACAUUUUUACGAAAAGUUAUGAUAAAAAGACACAUCAGAAAAAAUAAUUGUCAACGAAAAAUGUAACCGUAAAUAUUUUAACGGAGAGUUGCGAUAAAAAGACACAACCGACAAAAAAUAACAGUCAAUAUUUAAACAAAAAAUUGCGAUAAAAAGACACAAACGGAAAAAAAUAACCGUCAAUAUUUUAACGAAGAGUUGCGAUAAAAAGACACAACCGAGAAAAAUAACCGUCAAUAUUUUAACGGAAAGUUGCGAUAGAAAGACACAACCGAGAAAAAGAAACCGACGAUAUUUUAACGGAAAGAUACGAUAAAAAGACAAAAACAAAAAAAGAAACUGUCAAUAUUUUAACUGAAAGUUACGAUAAAAAGACAUAACCAAAAAAAUAACCAUCAAUGAAAAAUUGUAACCGUAAAUAUUUUAACAAAGAGCUAAGACAAAAAGAUACAACCGAGAAAAAAUAACCGUUAAUAUUUUAACGAAAAGUUGCGAUAAAAAGACACAAACGAGAAAAGUAAUGUUAAUAUUUUAACGGAAAGUUGCGAUAAAAAGACACAACCAAAAAAAUAAUCGUCAACGAAAAAAAGAACCGUCAAUAUUUUAACGAAGAGUUGCGAUAAAAAGAUACAAACGAAUAAAGUAACAACCAAUAUUUUAUCGGAAAUUGCAAUAAAAAGACACAACCGAAAAAUAACAGUCAAUAUUUUAAUGAAGAGUUGCGAUAAAAAACAUACCCGAAAAAAUAACUGUUAAUAUUUUAACGGAAAGUUACGAUAAAGAGACACAACCGUUCAGAAGUGCAAAAUGCAUUUAUUGAGGUUGUUAUUUUGGUUAAUAAAGCCAAUUUGAUAUGUUGUCUAAUGGUUGAUGUAAAAAAACUUCGUAGUAUUACUAACUAUACAAAAAAUGCAAUGAAAUUAUAUAAUGAAAAGACGUAACUUUAAAUGAAUAAAUGCAACUAUAAAGAUAUAACUGUAAACUGAAAAGAUACGACUGUAAUUGAACAAAUAUAACCGUAAAUAAUUCAACGAAAAUUCAAUAAAAAAAAUAACCGAUUUAAACGAAAGGUUGCGAUAAAAAACGCAACCGUUCAGAUGUGCGAAUGGUAUUUAUUAGAUUGCUAUUAUAUAUAGAUUUUUGUCUUGCCGUUUAGGACAUCCUUUGAACAUGGUUUUCUCUAAUUUAUCGAGAUAUGUUGUUGAAAUGAAAGAUGCGGACCACUUGAUUAUUUGAGACUCCUACUGAUCUAUUGAAGUAGAAAAUGUAGUAUGAGAUAUUGUAUUGGAGUACACCACCGUUUGAUAGGCCACGAUCGAAUAAAUUGGAUGGUACGAUCGAACGCUAUAAAGUGCGUCUAGUUUGUCCUUCGUUAUCACUAAACAGAAGGAAAUGACUACAAAAAAAAAAAAUAACGUUGGGCCUGAUUGAAAACCAAUUUCUUGAAUUAGAUAUCGAAUAGGUUUACAUUUCAUAUUCCAAGUGACAAAAGAGAUAUCUCAACUUGCUGGUCGUCCUGUUUUAAAAUCUAAACUAUUUAACUUCACAUAAGGAUAAUGUUGUUAAAAUUAAAGCAAUUUUGAUCUUGUAAAAUAUGCUAGAGACUGAAGGAAAACAAAAUACUUUUAUUAUUAUUAACCAAGAUCUUCAUGAAUCAUGGUCCAAUCACAAACUAAAACAUAGAAAACAAACAUUGAACAUAAAACCAAAUCCUCAAAAUAUAACUUAAAGCUCAUCUCUCUUGAUCGCGGAUGGACGAACACCUUGAGCGAGGAAAUCUUUGUAAUACUUGGCUGAUUCUUUCUCAUAACGUGUGAGGUUAUUUUUGAAAUCGACGUAAUAGAGUCCGAAUCUAUUAUCCAAAGUUAUCCAACAAUGACCAUACAAAGUAUCCCGUAACUCUCACCAUCUUGCCAUUCAAAGUUAUCCAACAAUGACCAUACAAAGUAUCCCGUAACUCUCACCUUGUCGAUGCUGCGCAUACACAAAUUAAAUGUUCUUAGUUAGAUCAUUCAAUAGAAUUGUUAGUCUAUCAAAUAACAAAUAAUAAAAUGCUUACCAAAUAGCCUCGUUCAUAGCCAGAAGAUGCCUCUGAAGAUAAUAUUUCCUGUUAUGAUCAGCAGUACCAACCUCAACCGAAUCUUUGUCCCUUAGUUUGUCUCCAUAUCCUAGAAAAACAACAUUAAGAUCAAUAUAUAUUACUCUAAACCUAAAUAAACACACAAAUAUAACAAUAAAUCUCACGAGUUACCAUUUUCCAUAAUCAUAAUUUCCGGGUUUGCGUAUUUAUCCUUGAUGUACUUUAAAAGACUUCGAAAACCUUUAGCGUAGACGGGCAAUGCAGCAGUAAGAGGCUGAAAUAAAACAAUGGAGAAAUGUAUAUUAAUGUUUAGUUGUUACAACAAUCUCAAACUAGGACUAGUUUAAUUAAACGCUUAAUUAUCGCUUAAUUACCUGACUACCAAUGGCGCUGUGAUCGACAUUCUUAGCUGAAAAAAUAAAAGUGAAAAUGUAUACAUAUCAAUUAGUAGUUCAAAAGAGGAACAAACAUAUUUUCUUCUAGUUUCUUGGUUUGGUUUUCAUGUAAGGAAAAAAAAAACUUACGUUCCCAGGCAACAAGAGAAUCUUGCUUCCAACUUGGUGUAGACGGAUCAGGCUUCUCAUUAUGGUUUGAAAAUGUUGAAGUAUAGUAGUUAAGUCCUACGAAAUCGGUCGAAUCUUUCAAUUUUGCUUUUUGCGCAUUCGUAAAUUUAGGCAAUCUGUGGCCAAGAAGGUCUUUCAUGAUUUGUGGAUAAUCUCCAAAAGUAGUUGGGUCUAGAUGCCUACAAAUAAUAAUCAGAACUCCAUUAAUUAAAUUAAUGAAACUAUACUAUACGAGAACUCAUUGUCUAACAAAAUAUAUACUUACCAUCCCAACAUAAAGUCAAGUACACGGCCGACAGUUGGAGUGUCAUUUGAAUCUUUAAGGUCAUGUGGUUCGAACCAAGCCGGACUAUGUGCGAUUCCGAUUUUCCCACCUUUAACCUAUGUCCAUAAACACAACACAAAACAAACUAUUUUCAAAUCCGAAAGCUGAUAAUUAAUUGUGAUUUAUAUCAAAUGUAACUUACCUUUUGGCGGAAAACUUCAACAGCUUCUGCGUGAGCGUUGAGGAGGUUGUGACUGACUACAUAAGCCUCAUAACCGGAUCGUCCAUCUCGGUCUUCGCAACCUUUAACGUAACGAGAACAACGUCCUGGUGCCUUCUUGCCUACGUCGUAACCUGCAUGAGCGAAGACCCAUGGCUCGUUGAAAGUGAUCCAGUUUUUCACUUUUCCACCGUAUUCUGUGAAAACAAAAUCUGCAUAUUCCCGGAAAUCUUUUCUGUAUUUUUGCAAAAAAAAAAAGAUAUUAAGUUAAUAAAUUCUACUUGGACUGUCCGAGAAACUUAAUGUAUUUCGUUUAAUUUACAAAAACAUACACAAUGUUUUGGCUUAAGAAACCGCCAUAUUCGUCUUCUAAAUCUUGUGGAGUGUCCCAAUGAAAAACAGUCACGGAAGGAAGUAUGCCUGGUUACAAUGUAAAAUAGAAAGAAAUGUUAAAUAAUGAUACCUUUUUGCUUCUUUUUUUGUUAAGUAAUUAGUUUAUAUGUAUACUAACCAUUUUUUAGGAACUCAUCGAUGAGGUCAUGGUAGAAUUUCACACCAGAUUGACUCACUCCCUUCUCCUUUCUCCCAUCUAAUAAAACAUUAGUUGUUUCAUUAGUUAUUGAUAUUUCAACAAUCACAUAAAUCUAAAUUCACCAAAUUCAGAUUAUAAAUUAAACUAGAGAUCUUUAGCACAUAUAUAUACUCACGAGGAAAUAUUCUUGACCAUGAGAUUGAGAGUCUGAAUGCGUCUGUGUUUAGAUUCUUCAUUAGUUGAAUAUCUUCCUACAAACAUUUUUCAAGACGAGACAAAUUUUCAUUAACAUCUCCUAUAAAAUGGACAAGGCUAUAGAAACUUGAAUUAAAGUUACAUUAAUAAUAACGAUGGAAGAAAUCAACGGCCACAUCGGCGUUGUGGCCACUACAUCUCUCUGUAAUUUAAAAGUAAAGAAAAAGUGAAUGACUAUUCAUUGAUAUUAAUAAGUUAGUUUAAUUUAAUAUCUAAACAUAGAUUAUACGAGCACUCACCUGGAUUUCUCCUACAAAAGAUAUCCCAUAGAGCCGGUCCACGGCAAGUUUCAUUAAUUGCACCUUCAACCUAAUGACAUAACGAAAAUAGUUGAUGAGUUGAUGAAAUAUUCACAUGCACCAAUGAUCUUAGUUGAUAGGUUUUAUCACAUAUUUCGAGCAUGAAAACUUUUAUAUAAAAAUUCAUAUUUAGAUGGCUAAACAAUAUUAACGAUACUUUUUUUUUUUUUUUUUUUAAGCUAUGCUUUAGUAAAUAUGUUGUACCUGAAACGCAGCAGUAGCCGUGCCAAACAAAAAACCGUUAGGGAAACUUGCUCGGCUUAGUUUGGACGUAGUCGGGCAAACAGGAUCAUCGACGGCUAUUGUCGAAGAGACGACGAUGGUUAGGAGCAAAAGCAGCCCCAUGAGAGGAAACUUUUGCAAUGCCAUUUUGGUUUUAAUGUUUUGUCUUGUUGAAAAAAAUAAGUUUAUGGUGACUGUUAAUUUACAUCUAAAACGGAGUUCUUUAUAUAGAGAUUUUGAUUGUUUGGUAAUGAGUGACUAAACUAUAAUUGUUUAGUAAAAUUAUUUUUUAAAUAGAAUGAUUCAUUGCAUAAUCUCGAUCAUUGUGUUCUUGCUUUCUUUGAAACAUAUUAUAUUAUGCGUGGGAUGUAUAAUAUAAAAACGUGUCUUUAAAUAAAUAGUGUUAUGUCCAAAAAAUAAAGUUCUCAAUCUUUUGUUGCAUCUGCUUCUAAAUAAUAUGGCUCAAUUUUUACUGGCUAAGAUAAGUCUACUUCAAAACUCCGGCAGUAUAAAGUACGAUGAUCUCCUCAUACUUUGGUUUAUGCAUAACUGAUGACUUGAUGUAUAUAAUAAAGAAUUUUUUGAUGAAUAAAAUUUCAAAUUCAUUCCAAAAAAAAAAAUAUUAAGGCUCAAUUUUCUAUAUUCGAAUAGUAUCAUUCAACUCAUUUCUCUGUAAAUUAGUAGAUGAAUGAAUUUAAAAUUGAGCCUUAUAUUUCCUUUAUGAUUUGUACAUUUUUCUACUCUUUUUAGUUGAAUCAAUUAAAUUAUUUUUCCAACUUAUUCAGUUCAAGUGGUAAAAGAUUUUUUUUUUUUGGUAUGAAGUUCAAGUGGUAAAAGAUUAAUAAAUGUUCAUUCAACUCUUUCAGUUUUUUUUUUUUUUUUUUUAAAUUUAAAUCAACCAUUUUUAAUCCCAUAUAAAUUGUUUUGUAGUUCACAGUAGCUAAUCAAAGAUUAAACCUUAUUAUUAAAAGAACAGUAGCUAAUCAAAGGAUCUCUCAUCUAAUGUCUUCUUUUUGAUAUGCCAACCAGGCUUCGUUAAUCUUUUUUUUUUUUUUAAAUUUUGUAUUGUAUAGAUCCAGAUCG